GGAAUAUUGGACAAUGGGGGCAACCCUGAUCCAGCAAUGCCGCGUGAGUGAAGAAGGUCUUCGGAUUGUAAAGCUCUUUCGGUGGGGACGAUGAUGACGGUACCCACAGAAGAAGCCCCGGCUAACUUCGUGCCAGCAGCCGCGGUAAUACGAAGGGGGCUAGCGUUGCUCGGAAUGACUGGGCGUAAAGGGCGCGUAGGCGGUUCGUACAGUCAGAUGUGAAAUUCCUGGGCUUAACCUGGGGGCUGCAUUUGAUACGUACGGGCUUGAGUGCGGAAGAGGGUCGUGGAAUUCCCAGUGUAGAGGUGAAAUUCGUAGAUAUUGGGAAGAACACCGGUGGCGAAGGCGGCGACCUGGUCCGUAACUGACGCUGAGGCGCGAAAGCGUGGGGAGCAAACA
RNAcentral lists this ribosomal RNA (399 nucleotides) under uncultured bacterium. Its description in RNAcentral is "bacterial SSU rRNA". It matches the Rfam family "Bacterial small subunit ribosomal RNA", at positions 358 to 774 of the family's 1533-position model. The record is from RNAcentral.